Long non-coding RNA from Lycium ferocissimum, 2428 nucleotides. RefSeq lists it as uncharacterized. The transcript has 2 exons. The record is from RefSeq and is a predicted model, not a curated record. Lineage: Eukaryota; Viridiplantae; Streptophyta; Magnoliopsida; Solanales; Solanaceae.
CUCCAAUCACAUUUGACUAAUUUUCACUUUCAGUUUUUAAGAUUAUACUCCAUCCGCCUCAAAUUCAAUGUGUUUUUUAUUUUACACGCUACUUAAAAAAUAUUAAUUAGAAGGGGUAUUUGACUAACUUUACCCUUAUUUAUUUUUAAGUUAUAAUCUUUAUCCAUGUUUACUCAAUUUAUAUGUAAUCUACAAAAUUCUACUAAAAAGUAAAUCGAGAAAAAAUAAUUAAUUAUGUCUGAAAAUUCUAAAACGAUAAAAUAAUUUGAGACAACUAUUUUUAGUAACCACCACAAAUAAUUUGAAACGGAGGGAGUAACUUUUUGCUUUGUAAAAGACCAAAAACAGCAAUUUUUUUGACUUAUUCUUCGUAGGUCCUCUUGUAUAAGUAAAGCAAUUGCAGCUUUUCCAAAAAUAUUCUAUUUCUUCUUUUGUCUGUAGCCAGCAUAAUGGGAGCUUUAAAAAGAAAAUGUUUGGCUGUUGGCAUCUUUCUCUUAAUAUUGUGAAAGAAAAGGAAAAAAUUAAAGUGUUGAGAUGUUACAGUCAUUCACAAAUCUUGAGGUCCACAACAUUUUAUGGGGUGGAUGUGCAUAAAUAUUGAGAACUUUCUUGAAUACCCAGGUGUCCUAGCUGGCUUGUGCUUAUCUUGAUUAAUUAUUAGUUUUUUAAAAGGUGGUGCUUUGAAAAUGUCUUUCAAUAUUUUUAUUAAGCAUAGGAGGGCUUUUUAAAUAACCAACUUAACAACAAAUUAUCUGUAUCAAAUCUCCAGGAUAAUUUCAAAAGCCUAAAAUAUCUCAACUACCUAAACAAAUCUAAUAGAAAAAUAAAAUUCAUAGUCAUCCUAAAACUAAGCAACUUAAUAUGCUAAAAGUUAGUGCAGUAACUGUAGUAAAUUUCAACACUCCUCCUUUGAGGUGCAAUCUAAAAAAUUGCUCCUCCUCAAUCUUUGCUUCGAUAGUUGGUGUUGAAUCUUUUGACUGCUUUUGAACUUGCCCACUUUUUUUUAAUCUCUUUUUUUUAAUCUCUUUUUUUUUUUUUUUUUUUUUUUUCCUUCUUUUGAUUUUGUGCAUAAAAAUCACCCUCAAUAACAUUGUUUUGUCUAAAAAUUCUUUUGAAAGUACUUUAAUCUGGACAAUUGUAGGAUUUGUAAAAAGUUGUUGUAAGAAUUUUUCUUCCAUCACAACAUCCCAUAAAUUAUAGGUUUCAAGGUAUGAUUUCAAUUUUACUGACCAAAUCUGAUAGUUUUCAUCAGUGGAUUUUUGUUGGGGCAUUCAAAGAGAGGUUGUUGCUUGACAUGUUUGAAAAAGGUUUAAACUGAUAUUGGUUAAAAGUCGGUAUUGGUUGAAAAUAGUUAUGCCUUAAAAGUAAGCACGGGUUGAAAAUAGGUAUUGGUUAAAAAUGGUUUUUGAAAAAUGGUUCUUUAGAUGAACUCACAGAUCUCAUAAGAUGAAUGAGGCUCUUAUAGUUGAUAUCACUGUUGGUUUUUAAAAGAUGGUGCAGUAAAAGUUGAAAAGUAUUGAUUGAAAAUGUGUCUCAAUAUUUUUAUUAAGCAUAGGAGGGUUUUAAAUAGCCUACUUAACAACAAAGAAUCUGCAUCAAAUCUGCAAGAUAAUUUCAAAAGCCUAAAAUAUCUCAACAACCUAAACAAAUCUAAUAGAAAAAUUCAAAUCCAUCCAAAAACUAAGCAACUUAAUAUGCUAAAAAUUACUGUAUUAACUGAAGUAAAUUUCAACACUAAUUUUACAAGUUACACGACUUGGACAGGUAGGACGAAAUCACUUAGUGUUUUUUGUAUUCACUCGAAUUUGAACCUCAUACUUUUCAUAUUUCUUCAUUGACCACUAGGACCCAUCGUCGGUGCAUAACCUAACUCGUAUUACAAGAUGUUUCUUCAAUCUGUGAAUUUACUCCAUCUUUUACUUUGCAUUGGCUUUACAAUGCGUACGGUACAAUUUUCAUUUGUAGGUUAUCCAUUUAAACUCAAUUCCUCCCCAGCUAAACACUUAUGGAACUCAUAAACAUGAAAGUGACGUUUGGUUGCCAAUUAGGUAAACCAAUAGUAUCAGUUCCAUUACAUAUGGAUCUUCAAAAUUGCUGAAAAUAUAGUUGAUGAACCAAAAAAGAGUAUCACUUAGAGUAUUUGGUGUUCUAUGAUCUCAUGGGCCUUUACUUUUGCAUUUGAAUCAGAUCAAUGUCGUGCCAAGAAAAUAUACCUUAGCUAUAACACGUAGUUGAUUAAGCAUAACAGAAGGAUACUAGCGAUCACACAAUUCUCAUUAAGAAGCAUGUCCAUUUGAUGUGCUGCUUUUGGAGAUGCUAAAUUAUUAAUCCAAUCUUUGCUAAGAUGUUAAUUUGCUAGCAUACCUCUAUGAGCUCUGGACGAUUUGGAUGGAAAGUUUAGUUGGUUAUUGAGGAAAAGGAAAAGAAA